GGAGGUAUGUCUCAGUGAUAAGAGUGUGUGCCUAGUGCUCACAAGGUCCUGGGUUCAAUCCCCGGCACCUCCA
Molecule: transfer RNA, 73 nt
Filed under: Camelus bactrianus (Bactrian camel)
Lineage: Eukaryota; Metazoa; Chordata; Mammalia; Artiodactyla; Camelidae
Also listed under: 1 other name
Rfam family: tRNA
About the family: Transfer RNA (tRNA) molecules are approximately 80 nucleotides in length.
Source: Rfam by way of RNAcentral